Molecule: non-coding RNA, 73 nt
Organism: Angiostrongylus costaricensis
Lineage: Eukaryota; Metazoa; Nematoda; Chromadorea; Rhabditida; Metastrongylidae
Source: Rfam
GCUUCGUUAGUACAGUUGGUAGAGCGUUAGACCUUUAAUCUAACCGUCAGGGGUUCGAAUCCUCUACGGGGCC